CUCAGGUACUUCUGGAGGCCUUGAAGGAUUGUUUGGACUGUCAUGAGGCUGCUACAACUGAGUGCACAUAGCAACUUGAGUAGACCUCAUUUAUCCUAUUCAAAAAUGGUAUGAACUAACCUUGUGGUGUUGAGGACAAAAUAUUAAGCAGAGCAGUAAAGAAGGUUACUCUGAAGUUACAAUUCAUACCUGGGACGUAUGGAUUGGCAUCAAAUCCUGAUGGAACAAAUGAAAAGUUAGUGGCUGGACACCUUUCUACUGACUUUCUGAGCCAAAAAUUCCAUGUACUGUGGACAUGCAUGUUUCCUAAUGUGUGAGGAUCUGGGUGAAAGUGAA
Ficedula albicollis (Collared flycatcher) is the source of this 336-nucleotide long non-coding RNA. RefSeq lists it as uncharacterized. The record is from RefSeq and is a predicted model, not a curated record. Lineage: Eukaryota; Metazoa; Chordata; Aves; Passeriformes; Muscicapidae. The transcript has 3 exons.